AAUAGAUACCCUGGUAGUCCACGCCGUAAACGAUGGAUACUAGCUGUUGGGGGCGACCUCAGUGGCUAAGCGAAAGUGAUAAGUAUCCCACCUGGGGAGUACGUUCGCAAGAAUGAAACUCAAAGGAAUUGACGGGGGCCCGCACAAGCGGUGGAGCAUGUGGUUUAAUUCGAUGAUACGCGAGGAACCUUACCAAGGCUUAAAUGCAGACUGACCGUUUUGGAAACAGAACUUUCGCAAGACAGUCUACAAGGUGCUGCAUGGUUGUCGUCAGCUCGUGCCGUGAGGUGUCAGGUUAAGUCCUAUAACGAGCGCAACCCCUGUUGUUAGUUGCCAGCGAGUAGUGUCGGGAACUCUAACAAGACUGCCAGUGCAAACUGUGAGGAAGGUGGGGAUGACGUCAAAUCAUCACGGCCCUUACGCCUUGGGCUACACACGUGCUACAAUGGCCGGUACAGAGAGCAGCCACCUCGCGGAGGGGGAGCGAAUCUACAAAGCCGGUCACAGUUCGGAUCGGAGUCUGCAACGUCG
Molecule: ribosomal RNA, 531 nt
Filed under: uncultured bacterium
Lineage: Bacteria
Description: bacterial SSU rRNA
Rfam family: Bacterial small subunit ribosomal RNA
Source: RNAcentral